This 253-nucleotide ribosomal RNA is filed under the name uncultured bacterium. RNAcentral describes it as "partial 16S ribosomal RNA". It matches the Rfam family "Bacterial small subunit ribosomal RNA", at positions 524 to 776 of the family's 1533-position model. The record is from RNAcentral.
UACGUAGGGGGCUAGCGUUGUCCGGAAUCAUUGGGCGUAAAGCGCGCGUAGGCGGCCCGGUAAGUCCGCUGUGAAAGUCAAAGGCUCAACCUUUGAAUGUCAGCGGAUACUGCCGGGCUAGAGUCCGGAAGAGGCGAGUGGAAUUCCUGGUGUAGCGGUGGAAUGCGCAGAUAUCAGGAGGAACACCAACGGCGAAGGCAGCUCGCUGGGACGGUACUGACGCUGAGGAGCGAAAGCGUGGGGAGCAAACAGG